GAGGAAUAUUGCGCAAUGGAGGCAACUCUGACGCAGCCAUGCCGCGUGCAGGAAGACGGCCCUACGGGUUGUAAACUGCUUUUAUCCGGGAAGAACCCCCUCGACGUGUCGAGGGUUGACGGUACCGGAGGAAUAAGCACCGGCUAACUUCGUGCCAGCAGCCGCGGUAAUACGAAGGGUGCAAGCGUUAUCCGGAUUCAUUGGGUUUAAAGGGUGCGUAGGCGGGGCGUUAAGUCAGUGGUGAAAUCCUGCAGCUUAACUGUAGAAUUGCCAUUGAUACUGGCGCUCUUGAGUACGCUUGGCGUGGGCGGAAUGUGCCGUGUAGCGGUGAAAUGCUUAGAUAUGGCACAGAACACCGAUCGCGAAGGCAGCUCACGAAGGCGAAACUGACGCUGAGGCACGAAAGCGUGGGGAUCGAAC
RNAcentral lists this ribosomal RNA (420 nucleotides) under uncultured bacterium. RNAcentral describes it as "bacterial SSU rRNA". It matches the Rfam family "Bacterial small subunit ribosomal RNA", at positions 356 to 773 of the family's 1533-position model. The record is from RNAcentral.